UGUGUGUGUGUCUAACAGGGCUAACAGUGUUUACAGACAGACAGCAGUGACCUCAUCACGCCCUGGGUGCAUUUAGACGCGGCGUCAGACUAUCAGCAGUUACACAAACGCACGCGCACACACACACGCGCAUGCAGAGAGGCUAACACACACCUCUGCACUUUCCUUUUUCCUCUCUUUUGUUUAAAUCUCUCUCUCGGUCUGCAGGCCGUCAGCCGUAUCAUCCCAUCGACACACAGAGAUGAGCUCCGCGGCCUUUCAAAGUUUAUUGAUACCAGGAUCCUUCUUUUUUUUUUUUUCCAUUCGCAGAAAUCCUCCAAUGAUUUGCCUUAAAAAAAACAGCUGCGUCGGUUGUGGCGUGUUGUCGAGAUGAAGAAAUCUGAACCAGGAAGUCCAGUUCGAGUGACGGAUGAAUGACUUAUCAGAAACCAAAACACUGCACAGAAGGUGAACCUGCUCAGGCUGAUUGAGGAGUCGAUAAAGAGAGGAGGGGACACAAGUCUGGCUUCUUAUCCAGUCGUGGCCCGACAGCAGCAGCAGUUCAGACUGGCCAUGUGGAGCUUUGGUUGUUUGUUCUUUUUGUCUUUUCUGGUGGGUCCGGUGGUUCAGUUUUGUGGCGCUAUUUCUUCGUAGGGUUUAGUUUGGGGAAUGUCUGGGGUAGGGAAGUGGGGAGAGCCCGGUUCCGACGGCCCUGUAAGGGUUGGACCGAGGUGGCUUCCCUUCUUUUGUUCUUUUUCUGCCGGCCCAUCCGUUUGUAGUUAGUCUGGAAGGCUUUGGUUUAACUUUUGUUUGUUGAAAUAAAAUUUCUUCUAUUUUUCUCGACUUGUGUAAUUAUGUUAAACCU
Molecule: long non-coding RNA, 844 nt
Organism: Acanthopagrus latus (yellowfin seabream)
Lineage: Eukaryota; Metazoa; Chordata; Actinopteri; Spariformes; Sparidae
Exons: 2
Source: RefSeq, a predicted model, not a curated record